AUUUAUAUAGUUUAGAAAAAACAUUACAUUUUCACUGUAAAAACAAGGAAAACUUUAUAAAUA
RNAcentral lists this transfer RNA (63 nucleotides) under Embiratermes chagresi. RNAcentral describes it as "tRNA-Glu". It matches the Rfam family "tRNA". Rfam says of the family: Transfer RNA (tRNA) molecules are approximately 80 nucleotides in length. Their secondary structure includes four short double-helical elements and three loops (D, anti-codon, and T loops). Further hydrogen bonds mediate the characteristic L-shaped molecular structure. tRNAs have two regions of fundamental functional importance: the anti-codon, which is responsible for specific mRNA codon recognition, and the 3' end, to which the tRNAs corresponding amino acid is attached (by aminoacyl-tRNA synthetases). tRNAs cope with the degeneracy of the genetic code in two manners: having more than one tRNA (with a specific anti-codon) for a particular amino acid; and 'wobble' base-pairing, i.e. permitting non-standard base-pairing at the 3rd anti-codon position. The record is from RNAcentral. RNAcentral also lists the same sequence under 2 other names. Lineage: Eukaryota; Metazoa; Arthropoda; Insecta; Blattodea; Termitidae.